Molecule: ribosomal RNA, 465 nt
Filed under: Vreelandella stevensii
Lineage: Bacteria; Pseudomonadati; Pseudomonadota; Gammaproteobacteria; Oceanospirillales; Halomonadaceae
Description: partial 16S ribosomal RNA
Rfam family: Bacterial small subunit ribosomal RNA
Source: RNAcentral
CCUACGGGAGGCAGCAGUGGGGAAUAUUGGACAAUGGGCGAAAGCCUGAUCCAGCCAUGCCGCGUGUGUGAAGAAGGCCUUCGGGUUGUAAAGCACUUUCAGUGGGGAAGAAAGCCUUGGGGCUAAUACCCUCGAGGAAGGACAUCACCCACAGAAGAAGCACCGGCUAACUCCGUGCCAGCAGCCGCGGUAAUACGGAGGGUGCGAGCGUUAAUCGGAAUUACUGGGCGUAAAGCGCGCGUAGGCGGUCUGAUAAGCCGGUUGUGAAAGCCCCGGGCUCAACCUGGGAACGGCAUCCGGAACUGUCAGGCUAGAGUGCAGGAGAGGAAGGUAGAAUUCCCGGUGUAGCGGUGAAAUGCGCAGAGAUCGGGAGGAAUACCAGUGGCGAAGGCGGCCUUCUGGACUGACACUGACGCUGAGGUGCGAAAGCGUGGGUAGCAAACAGGAUUAGAUACCCUUGUAGUC